Molecule: ribosomal RNA, 433 nt
Filed under: uncultured bacterium
Lineage: Bacteria
Description: partial 16S ribosomal RNA
Rfam family: Bacterial small subunit ribosomal RNA
Source: RNAcentral
AACGAACGCUGGCGGCAUGCCUAACACAUGCAAGUCGAACGAGACCUUCGGGUCUAGUGGCGCACGGGUGCGUAACGCGUGGGAACCUGCCCUUAGGUUCGGAAUAACUCCCCGAAAGGGGUGCUAAUACCGGAUAAUGUCUUCGGACCAAGGAUUUAUCGCCUUUGGAUGGGCCCGCGUUGGAUUAGCUAGUUGGUAGGGUAAAAGCUUACCAAGGCGACGAUCCAUAGCUGGUCUGAGAGGAUGAUCAGCCACACUGGGACUGAGACACGGCCCAGACUCCUACGGGAGGCAGCAGUGGGGAAUAUUGGAACAUGGGCGAAAGCCUGAUCCAGCAAUGCCGCGUGAGUGAUGAAGGCCUUAGGGUUGUAAAGCUCUUUUAACCGGGAUGAUAAUGACAGUACCGGGAGAAUAAGCUCCGGCUAACUCCGUG